GGGGGGGGCCAGGAAGAUCGGGAGAGGGGGAGGUGCGCAGAGCCGCCCGCCGCUCCUCACCCGGGCCGGGAGAAGUCGCCCCCCGCACCCCCCCACGAGUCCGUCCUCUCCAUUCAAGUUCGCCGGGCCUUGCCGCCGGGAUCGGGGAUGGCCCCCAGCUGCCCGCCCAGCUCUGCGUCCUGUUUCCAGCCACCGCGCAGAAAUUUAGGUCAAGGACGUCGGGAGCAAACCCACACCCUGGAGCUCUUCGGGAGGCCCCCGAGACCCCCCCACCCCAGGAUCGGGAUGGAGGGGGGGCUUCAGGAUGGCGGAGAACCCCCAGCACAAACAUCAGCCACAAGUUUUAUUUUGCCUUCGCGCUGCAAGUUCGGCGCUCGCUCCACACCGGCACGUCCUGCGCGGCUCCCCGCCCUUCCCCGCAGAGGAUAGGUGGCCAGAGCACCCCUGAAGAGCGCGACUGUAGUGUCAGCCAGUGCCUCUUUUGGUUCUUUGGAGACCAAGCCCCACAGCAGUUUUGUGUGAAAUUCCCACCUUGGAGGGCCAUGGGCCCCAGCGCCCCCGUCUGGUGAAGAGAGGGAACACUUUGUUACGUUGUGGCUCCCUCUGCUGGCAGAGCAAGCGAGACUGAGUCGGCUGACAGGGCCCUGUUGCAGAGUCCCAGGCCAAAAGCUCACAGGUGGAGAGGUUUCCUGGCCUGGACACCAAGAUCCACCACAGUAGCCCACGCUGCAGUUUCUGUGAUAACCAAUCAGCUAAUUCCAAGUGGCUGAAAAGACUAAAGAAGAGGAGAGGAAGAAAUCGCUGUACUCUCUGAGGAGGGAAUUCAAAUAGGACAAAAUCAAAUCUAUUUAGCCAAACAUAGUGUGGACACACAUAGAGGAAUGGAGGGGGAAAGGAAAAGAAGUAUUAGAUGUGAAGGCAAUAAAGGAUGGAGUGCAGCACAAAUUGCCGAACAAGACAUUCGUGCUAAAAAUAAUGUUGCUUGCAGA
This 989-nucleotide long non-coding RNA is filed under the name Heterocephalus glaber (naked mole-rat). RNAcentral describes it as "lncRNA (ENSHGLG00100036155.1)". Lineage: Eukaryota; Metazoa; Chordata; Mammalia; Rodentia; Bathyergidae. The record is from RNAcentral.